GCGGAGCCGAGAUUGUCGCUCAGAGACAAGCGAGAGCGCGUCUGUGCUUUGCUGCGCAUGCGCGGAUUUAUUGACCGCUAGAGGUGUCUCCUGUGCCUUUGGUGCAAAUAUGGACUUUAAAUGUGACCUUUAAGAGAAGACUGGAUCCUUGCUGGGCAGAUGAAGGAAAGGACCAGAACCGUACUGAAUUCAGCACCAUCAAUCUUUCAUAUCUCCAAAGGAACUCGAAGCUCACCGAAUGGACAGAUGCUUUGAACGGCGUUUCUUUGUCCCCAGAGCGGGCAGAAAACGCCGCCUAAGGAUGGGUUCUUGUUUGUCUAAAAGCGUGUCUUCUCUGUAAGAGAAACAUAGGUUAGGUUGGAGAAGAUACAUAUGCAAGUCAGGCCAGUUAUACAUCCAAAGCACUAGAAAGUGUUAGCAGAGCUUUCUCCCAUACUCUUAGGCAGGGGUCCCCAAACUAAGGCCCGGGGUCAUUUACCUUCAAGGUCAUUUACCUGGCCCCCGCCCACAGUUUUAUAAUAUUAUAUUUUUAUAUCAGUUUUAAUAAUAUAACAUAUUAAUAAUAUAUUUAACACACUGGUGGCACAGUGUGUUAAGGCGCUCAGCUGCUGAACUUGCGGACCAAAAGGUCCCAGGUUCAAAUCCCGGGAGCGGAGUGAGCGCCCGCUGUUAGCCCCAGCUCCUGCCAACCUAGCAGCUCGAAAACAUGCAAAUGUGAGUAGAUCAAUAGGUACUGCUCCGGCGGGAAGGUAACAGCGCUCCAUGCAGUCAUGCUGGCCACAUGACCUUGGAGGUGUCUAUGGACAACACAGGCUCUUCAGCUUAGAAAUGGAGAUGAGCACCAACCCCCAGAGUCGGUCAUGACUGGACUUAACGUCAGGGGAAACCUUUACCUUUUUAUAGACAUAUUAUAUUGAUAGUAAUAUUAUCACAUUAUACAAUAUAAUACUAAUAAUAAUACCAUAUAAUAAUAUUAAUUAUAUGUUAUAUAUUACAUAUAAUAUUACAGUAUAGUGGUAUAGUUCAAUAUAGUAAUAUAUAAUGCUAAUAUUGUGCUAUGCUAAUAAUAUAAUAUAUUGUAGGUACGUACAGCUGCUCUGAGUCCCCUUCAGGGUGAGAAGGGUGGGAUAUAAAUGUAGUAAAUAAAUGUAGUAAAUGAAUAAAUAAAUAAUUUUAGACCUAGGCCCGCCCAAAGUCUGAAAUGACUUGAAGGCGCACAACAACAACAAUCCUAAUUAACUUGACUAUCUCAUUAGUCAGAAGCAGUCCCCGCACUUCCCAUUGAAAUCCUGAUAGGUUUAUGUUGGUUAAAAUUGUUUUGCUUUUUAAAUAUUGUAUUGUUCUUUCAUUGUUGUUGUUGUUUUGCAUUACAAAUAAGACAUGUGCAGUGUGCAUAGGAAUUUGUUCGGUUUUUUUUUUUUUCAAAUGAUAAUUCGGCCCCUCAACAGUCUGAAGGAUUGUGGACUGGCCCUCUGCUUUAAAAGUUUGAGGACCCCUGCUCUUAGGGAAGCUGAAAAGUGCUCACUAUUGAUAGAAAACUCCCCCAUUCCAAAACACUACACCAUAGUAUGGCUGUGGAAAUACAAUUACUGUCUGCCCAGCUGGUGAAGUUUGCUUUUUCCUUUGUCAAGGCCACAGAGAUUAAUCAGAAAAGGGAGGAAACAAUCUCAUAAUAUUCUAUAUUUGGAUUGGAUUUGACUCUUCCCAUGGGAAUCUUGUCAAGAACUGUGCUAUGUGUUGUCGAAGGCUUUCAUUGCCAGAUUCACUGGAUUGCUGUGACUUUUCCGGACUGUAUGGCCAUGUUUCAGAAGCAUUCUCUCCUGAAGUUUCACCCAUAUCUAAGGCAGACAUCCUCAGAGGUUGUGAGAUCUAUUGGAAACUAGGCAAGUGGGGUUUAUAUAUCUGUGGAAUAAUGUCCAGUGUGGGAGAAAGAACUCUUGCCUGUUUGCAGCAAAUGUAAAUGUUGCAAUUGGCCAGCUUGAUUGGCACACCUCCCAACAAAGGAUUCCCCAGAAAGGAAGCAGCCAGGCUUUGAAUCUGCAAAGUUGUUCAAUUCAUUUCCAAGAAGUCUAAAUUACAAGAAUUCAUGAAGCAGCCCAUCUCUUUCUCUCCAUGGCAAAAUUUGACCAAAUAUCUGAAGGUGCCCACUCCCAAAGCAGUAACUUACCUGCACUGUUCACUGCUGCCUGGUGCAAGUUGGUCAAGGGAACCUGAUUCAUUGGACCGCAAGGACUUCCUUUUCAUCCUAUUGAUCAGCACUUUGACUUUGCCCCAAUUGGAGUGAUCAUUCUGAAAGGCACAGAAGAUGGUGGUGAGUGUGAUCAAACAGAAAGUAAAAUGGAAUUAAUGGGGGGCAGAUACAAAACAACAUCUCCCAUCAUCCUUUACCACUGGAUGUGACUGGAGUUCAGCAACAGCUAAGACCCUUUGGUGAGGCACUAAAACUCUCUGGUUAAGAAUAUUAAAUUAUUAUUUAUGUGUU
Long non-coding RNA from Anolis carolinensis (green anole), 2482 nucleotides. RefSeq lists it as uncharacterized. The transcript has 2 exons. Lineage: Eukaryota; Metazoa; Chordata; Lepidosauria; Squamata; Anolidae. The record is from RefSeq and is a predicted model, not a curated record.